Scatophagus argus is the source of this 1217-nucleotide long non-coding RNA. RefSeq lists it as uncharacterized. The record is from RefSeq and is a predicted model, not a curated record. NCBI's taxonomy places the organism in Eukaryota, Metazoa, Chordata, Actinopteri, Scatophagidae. The transcript has 5 exons.
AGCACAGCCACCUUCACGUGAGGGUGAGGAGCAGUCUUCUCCGGGAGCUUCCAAGGAUGCACCGAGUGGCUCUGUGGACCCCGCUCGCCGGAGGUGUAGUCACCACACUCUCCGGCUGGGGGUCCAGGUCUGGUCCCGUUAUUACUGGGAUUUCUGUGGGAGGAGCAGGUUUCCCUGUUGUUCGGGGCCUGGCAAUCUUCCCCCCUGAGCUUGAUUGGUUCAGAGUCAUAGAUGUUUCAACUGAAGAUGCUUUCCCCUCCCGCGCUCUUCCCUGACACGAUGGAGGGAAAAUGGAACGACGUGGAAGGGGAGGAGAGGGAAGAGCAGAUGUAUGGGAGGAAGAGGAGACAGGGGAACACCGUCAGAAACACAUGCCUGGACCUGGGAUCUUGAUUGGGCAAUAUCCGCUCCUGUGAGUUUUUUCACAUACACAAUUGGAGAUGGUGGCAGUAGGGCAAGCCUUCUGGUUGUCUGUGCAGGGAGGGAUCCAGAUACAUGCUUCACCACUUUAGGCGUCGACUGUUCUUGGGGAGGAGGGAGAACUGUUUGUCCCAUAUCAUGGCUUUUCAUAAUAUGGUCAACUAAAACUGGCUUUGGUCCAAGGUUCAGCCUCCCGGGUCCCAUAUCCUCUACUGGUGGUUGUGUAGAUGGCACCGCUGGAGCAUUGCAGGUAAGUGGUGAAGUAGUGGAAGUUUGGAGUAAAUCCUGUGCUUCCUGUAUGGCUUGUGGGCUCAAUUUAGCUUUGUAGCGCUUCGUGGCCCGGUUUACUGAAAUCUUGAAAGCAGUGUCAUUAAAGGGAAUGUUUCUGACCGUUAAAAUUAUUUUUUGACAGUGUUCUUGUAAGAUGGAGAGGUUCUUGAACAUCCAGGCCUUAGUGUUACUCGCUACAGCCUGUCUCACUUCAUCAGAGGGUGAGGAAGGUUUAAUAAAAGCGGUGAGCUUUUGUACUUGCCUACACAUGCCACGGGGUGGAUUCUGGGUGGUGAUUGCCCUAUCUAUAAUCCCCUUAUGGUGGACGGCCUGUAACAAUUUAAAAAAAGCUUUAGCUGCCUGUCUGGUUUCUACAUUCAAAGUCUGGUGUGGUGGAGCUAUUGUAGCUAAUGGCUGUCUGUGUUCCCUAUGUGUCUCCUGUGUGUUUAAUGUGUCUGUGUCCCUGUCCCUAUGGGGUCCUCUGCUUCCCGCUGGUCGGCUGGAUUGGACCGUCUUGGACCUGUGAA